UGGAAAGAAUGAACAGGAGAGGAGGC
This 26-nucleotide non-coding RNA is filed under the name Rattus norvegicus (Norway rat). The record is from RNAcentral. Lineage: Eukaryota; Metazoa; Chordata; Mammalia; Rodentia; Muridae.